AUUGAACGCUGGCGGCAGGCCUAACACAUGCAAGUCGAACGGUAACAGGAAGCAGCUUGCUGCUUCGCUGACGAGUGGCGGACGGGUGAGUAAUGUCUGGGAAGCUGCCUGAUGGAGGGGGAUAACUACUGGAAACGGUAGCUAAUACCGCAUAAUGUCGCAAGACCAAAGAGGGGGACCUUCGGGCCUCUUGCCAUCGUGUGUGCGCUGAUGGGGUUUGCUUGUUGGUGGGGGAACGGCUCACCACGGGGCCGAUCUCUAUCUGGUCUGAGAGGAUAACAGGCCACACUGGAACUGAGACACGGUCCAGAUUCCUACGGGAGGCAGCAGUGGGGAAUAUUGCACAAUGGGCGAAGCCUGAUGCAGCCAUGCCGCGUGUAUGAAGAAGGCCUUCGGGUUGUAAAGUACUUUCGGCGGGGAGGAAGGGAGUAAAGUUAAUACCUUUGCUCAUUGACGGUACCCGAAGAAGAAGCACCGGCUAACUCCGUG
RNAcentral lists this ribosomal RNA (489 nucleotides) under uncultured bacterium. RNAcentral describes it as "partial 16S ribosomal RNA". It matches the Rfam family "Bacterial small subunit ribosomal RNA", at positions 30 to 507 of the family's 1533-position model. The record is from RNAcentral.